This is a long non-coding RNA of Cyprinus carpio carpio, 3553 nucleotides long. The record is from Ensembl. NCBI's taxonomy places the organism in Eukaryota, Metazoa, Chordata, Actinopteri, Cypriniformes, Cyprinidae.
AUGACAGUGGUCGAAAAGGCAGGAGCCCACUCCUGGCUGGAUUUGGGAACUGAGUCACCCUCUCUGCUGGACUGGGAAACGGGAGCCCACUCAAGGCUGGACGGGACCAGCAGGGACGAAGAUCUAUUUCCAAGUCUAUCAGGUCCCCUUCUAAGUACAGCAGUCCCAGAAAUACACUACUGUGCAAAAGUCUUAGGCACGUUAGUAUUUUCACGCCAAAGAAUGGUGUUCGGCCAGUUAUUUCUAUCUUUUGCUGUAGUGUGUCAGUAGAAAAUAUCAGUUUACAUUUCCAAACAUUCAUUUUGCCAUUAAUUUAAAUAAUAAUCUAGUGAGAUUUCUGAAUGCACAAGCAGUCUGACAACAGCCGGUGCUCCACACAGAGAUCUGAUCUCACCAUCAUCAAAUCUGUCUGUGAUUACAUGAAGAAACAGAUGAAACUGAGACAAAUUAAAUCCAGAAGAACUGUGGUCAUAUCUCCAAGACGCUUGAAGAAACCUUCCUGCAAAGCUACCUGAAAAACAAUGUGCAAGUGUACCUGGACAAAAGCUGUUUUAAGUGCACACCAAAUAUUUAAUAGAAGAUAAUUGAUAAAUAAAUUGAUAAAUAUUUUUGAAAGCAUCCUUACUUUAAAGCAUAUUUACACAAGUGCCUAAAACUUCUCACAGUACUGCUUGUGCAUUCAAAAAUCUCACUAGAUUAUUAUUAAAAUUAAUGGCAAAAUGAAUGUUUGGAAAUGUAAACUGAUAUUUUCUACUGACACACUACAACAAAAGAUAUUAAUGUGCCUAAGACUUUUGCAUAGUACUGUAUAAUUAGCUCACCCUCAGCCCGGCGCUGCAGUGGUCAGAACUCCACUCCGUACUCUCACCAUCCACGGCUAUCUCCCUCAUGGCGGGGACUUUCGCCCGGCUCUCGGACCAGAUCUUAUAGGUUAGGCUCUGCUUCUGGGGCGAUCCUCUGUUCAGUCGCUUGGCUUUGCGCUGGUUCCUUGAUCGCAGUGGGAAUAGGCUCUCCAUCAUCAGUGGGCUCGGGCUGAUGCCCCGCACAACGGGGAGAUGAUAGGCUGGGCACUGGGUCAGAAGCGGAUAUGGCGAGUCCACUCCAUGAAGGUGGUGAAAUCCUCUCGAGGACCAUCUUUGGACGACGGUGCUCUGCUCGCAGUGUUCAAGCUUGUGUCAUAGAAUGAGCAGAGCACAUUGUCUGGGUAGCUGGUGGUGUUAGCUAACAACAGGAACAGUCUUGUAUGGUCCUCUAGAGAUCUUUCCCCCUGCUCCAGCAGGAGGAGGAGGUAUUCGGGAUGGGUGAAUGCAUCCAUGAGGGGAACAAAAAAACACAAAAAACUAAACAAACAAAAACUGUACAAAAACUAAAAACAAAAAUGUAGGGUCGACAUAGAUGUUACGGUUAAGGUCGGGUCUUCUGUCACACUUACACUUACACAGACAGGAACUAAAAUACAAGGGCUAUUUGGGAACUCAGGUGCACAGAAUGACUAAUCAAACUAAACGAGGACAGGAACAUGACCAAAUAAGGGAACACUAUAACAGAAACGGGCAAAACAGGUCCAUAAUCCUUGAUUUAAGGUACUUAAAAAAAAUUAAGACAGCACAAUGCUAGCUUUUGACUAGUUUUGCCAAUGGACCUCAGAUUCCAUGGGUUAUGCUGAGAACAGUGAUAACCUACUGUCUGGCAUUUUGGAUUUCUUCAAAAGUCUGCCUUUUUAAACUUCUCUUCGACCCUGGGUUCGAUUUUCACAAAAUUAGACUCAGAUAAUCUUAAUGCCAUGUUGUCAAAAAGCUUUCACAUUGAUAAAGUUUUUGCUUACUACAUCAACAAAGUUAAAGGCAUGUUGCCAAACUGGAUAUGAGUCUGUAUCUCUGCAACACUGGCAUAUUGACAACAGACUUUGUGUAUGUCGAUGACUGUGUUCCAGUUUGCUUUUAGACACACACUUGCAAACUUCCCUAAACACUUCCCCUCAGGGGAAAUCCAGCUGCCAUUUUGAAGUGUUUUUUCCACUUCGUGAAGUGGACAAGAGACAAUUAUAUAUACAGACCCUCAAGGGAGGGAGCGAGUUUACUUCAUACGUACACUUCAGGCCACUUCAUAUACCACAAUGCAACAUUACUGUGAUGUCACCACAGAUUGCAUUUAAUUUACCCUCAGCUCAAACAGCUUUGUAAUAUGUGUAUUGUUUUUUAAAUAUUUAAAACAGCCCAAUCAUGCCUAUAUAUAUAUAGAAUUCUCAAUCAAACAAACAUUCAAAUUCAGCUCUUUGCAAGGGUUCUGCCAGUAGUGGGCGCUCAUGCAACAUAAUCAAUGACUUACAUCAGCGUAAACGAGAUGGAGGGAAGUUAGUGAGGGAAGGACAUAAAAAAUGAAGUGGAACUUAACCAUUGUCACCCCACACUGACCACACCACAUCAAUUGAUUGCCAGUGCCACCUAUUGGUCAAAAGUGAUAAGCAACUGUGUCACCUUACAAGUGAUUUUAUUUAUGGUCUUUCAACCAUUUUGUCUAAAAUCAGAAACAGAUGUCUUUAAUUACUAUCUUUUUUUUUUCAGUUGGUCUGCCAUAUUUAAGAUCUGAAAUUCAUUUACAUUUGUAGGUUAAAAAAUACUCUUUUAUUUGUAUUAUGUUCUACUGUAUCAUUAUUGCAUUUAUAGACACUACAUAGAAAGCACUUUUUUUAACAGUCACAAAGUUAUUACUAUUCGAAAGACGUACCUAAUCAGCGUGUGUGAUUUUAAACACAGACUAAGUUCACAUUUUAGUUUUGUUUCAUCAUUUCUCAAUGACAUUGAUAUGUUUAUUUUCUUUGUCAUUCAUUGUCACAUGAUAUUAUAUCUGAACGUUUCUCCCACACAGAUACAACACAAUUCUGUCAUAAAAUCAAUAACUGAAUAGUAUUGCAUAAAACUACCAUGACUCAGUGUUCUAUUGUUAUGACUCGUUCCCAAAUACACCACCAGCUCUGUGUGAGUUUUUGAGUGAUGAUGUCACCAGACUAAGGGUAGUGGGAGUUGGACAGAUGCUUGACCAUCUUGUCUGACCCCAGCAGUGGUGGGGUCGGGAGGGGUAUGCUUGGCUGGACACGACAGUGCCAUGAACACUAAUUGGGUCAGUUGGCAGCACAUGGUGACCAUCCACAUUCAGACAAGCGUGAAUGAUGCUGAAGUACAUUCAUAAAAGUUAAUCUCUUGAUUCAGAUAAUUGGAAUGUUGUAGAAUGACAGACUGUGACAUACAUACACACAUAUACAGACUAUAUAUGAUGUUUAGUUUGUGUACAUUUAGUUUGUCGACAGUUGUUAGACAUACUGAUCUCAGAUCAUUCUUGGUGUGUAAUUACUAAUAAAGCAGACUGGGACUAGUUGAGGGGUGGGUGUAAACAAACAAAGACAAUAAAACUACACUACAGACAUUCAGAAGAGAGUCCGAAAAUAUAUGAAGGUAAAUUUUGAUCAACAGUUAAGCUUUGCUCUCAUUUCAAGUUGGAAGAUAUUACAUAUAUGAUUUAGCUGUUGCAAUUUGUUGGUCAGUGAAACACAAGU